This is a non-coding RNA of Delphinapterus leucas (beluga whale), 4781 nucleotides long. The record is from RefSeq and is a predicted model, not a curated record. NCBI's taxonomy places the organism in Eukaryota, Metazoa, Chordata, Mammalia, Artiodactyla, Monodontidae.
AUAACUAGAGAAAGCCCGUGCAUACCAACGAAGACCCAACACAGCAAAAAAAAUUCAUCAUCCAUUUUUCACUAUGCUUUGAGAAUUUAGGCUAUUUCUUUUUGUAAGAAUAAAUCCAGGCUGUCAUCUGGGGAAGAUUUUCAUAAAUUAAACAAGAAAAUAAUUUGAAAAAAGAUAAAGCGCAAAUCAUACUGAGACUCAAACAUAAGCAACAUCCACAAGACAGCCAAUGGGAGCUCAGAAUGGAAGUUAUGUUGCUUCAGCCCUCUACAUUCCCAUCUUCAAACAAUAGGUAUGUGACCAUCUUUGGCAAAUCAGCUGUGUAGUAACUGGACUCUGUCUUAUUCUCUGCGGUAUCAUGGGCACCAGGCCCAGUGUUAUCACUCAACAGGUAGUUUUAACUAAAGCAAUUUCUUAGAUUUUCUCCUCCUACUGGAAGGCAUUUGCAAAUGACCAAGCUAUUUUGCCUCAUCAGGGCCAUAUUUGCUGGGAUUAUAAUCGAAAUGGCUAAUAUUUCUACUCUUCCCUUACUGGUAUCAGUCAUGCCUACUGAGUUUAUUGCUAAAACCACUAGGAUUAUGUUUCCUUUAAGGUGCAUAUGGCUCUGGGGAUUCAAGUUGCAGCACAACUUUCAGCCUGUGCCUGGCACUAUAUUAAACUCAUGAGGAUGGCCUCAUCUCUAAUUUGCCCUCUACUAGGUUAUAAUAGAAAAGAACUAGCCUGGUGUCAUAUACAGAGCCACCUAUCUGAACUCAGACUCUCCCUGAAUCUCACAGCUCACAGUAACCAGACACAUAUUACUCCUUAGUGGAUCUUUAUUGAUGUGGCAAUUACUACGUUUCUCCUGAGAAUCUUUGGAGACUCUUCACAACGAAUGAUGAAUGAUCUGUUGCAUCCCGUAUCUUCGUUCCGUUCCAUGGGAGAGUGGGCUCCUUUCAGUUUGAUUUCCAAAAUUUGGCCAGUAAUAACUAAAGCAUGACUUCAGGUCCAAAACCAUGAGUUUGGAUUCUGAGUCCUUGGUCUGCUCCUGUUUCCUGCUAACCUGCUCUUUCAUCUUUAGUUACUCAGCAUGAGUAUAUUCUUACUCCUAAAUGACAGGUAUGUAGCCUUUACAGACCUUUAUGUUCUUAAGGUUUGGUACCCCACAAGACUCAUUAAAGUCCUAAUCCCCAAAGUGAUGGUGUUAGGUAGUGGGCCCUUUGGGAGGUGAUUAGGUCAUGAGGAUGGAGGCCUCACAAUUGGAAUUAGUGCCCUUUUAAAAGAGGUCUCAGAUAAAUCCCCCAGUCUCUGCCAAGGAGAAGUGGACAGUGUGUGACCUGGAAGCAGGCUUUCAGCAGAACUGGACCACGCUGACACCCAGAUCUUGGAUUUCCAGACUAUGGAACUAAACUUGAGCGAGGCCAUUUUUGGGAAAGAAGCCGUUUUCUGAGGGGUUUGAAGCAGGGAAGCGAGUUGGGGCCGAUUUUACAGAUUCGGGCUCGUUUCUGGCGCUAUGCUGCGACGGCUCAGAGAAAGGGGAACGCGGCGGCGGCGAUGGGGCGCCCGGACGGUGUUGGGGACGCCCUGGGGGACUCCAGCUUGACUUUAGUGUAGAAAGAAGAGUUACUAGUGUCCUGUACAAGCAGCUGAGGACGUGUACCAGGUCUGAUCUUCUCAUUUUCUCUGACUAUGUCUGGAAACAUGAGCUAUGACUCCUAUCAAGUCAUGUGGAAGAAUUCAAAUCUAAUGUCUUAGCCCCUUAAAGGGGACAUGGAGAGAGGCGAGGCUAGUUGUAUUUUGGUGCAUUACAAAGCAUGAACAUACAGUAAAAUGUCUAAGUACUCUUAUUAGAAUUUAAAAAGACACAGAUUGAGACUCAGAUUUUAUUUCAACCUUGGGUCUCAUUUGGAUGAGCACACCCUAUUGGAUUUAUACUCUGUCCUUUUCCAUGAAUGUUUAAUUUCCAGCGUAAUAAAAGAAACGUUGAAGUUGCGACAUUAUCUGUUGCCAAUAAAUUGAAGAGAAAUUGGAAAAACUUGGAAACAACAUUGGCAUAAGUACAGAAUUGACAACCUUGUACUAUUUAAGAAUCUCAUUUGCAGGCAGGUACUCAGAGCAGCUGGAUACAGGCUCCCACAGCCAGACACGUGAAUCACCAGGCUCACCGGGGCCUGCCACCCUCCUCACUGAGGUCACCCAGGAUGAUGUUCUCCAGCCCUGUCUGCACCCUUAGCUGUGACCAGCCCCGAACCACGGCCUGCCAAAGCAGGAGACCCUCACAAGUUCUGCACCUAGUGGAAGAACCUUUCCAUUGUUUUCCUGCCUGAAGGACAAGAAGGUUUUCAGGUUCCUCCAGGAGCAGCCAGAUGCAAAUAGCUCAGGCCACCUCUUUCUCCAUGCGGUAAUCUAGCAGACCUUCAACUUUUUCAGCAAAGAGGGAUGAUAAUCCUCAUUGGACUGAUCAGCAGCUAGAAUUGUUGGAGGCCUGUUUGGUGCAGAAAAUGGAGAUGGAAAGACUUUCUGAGCAAUGAGGACUCUAGUCAGACUUUGAAGAACUGCUUCCAAAGUACCAGGCUCAGGAAAUUCCCUGGUGCUCCAGUGGUUUGGACUCUGCGCCUUCACUGCUGUGACUCGGAUUCAGUCCCUGAUCCCACAAGCUGCUGGACGUGGCCAAAAACAACAAAAAGGAGAAAAAACAAAAACCCCAAAAUAAACACAAAGUACCAGGGUCGAUAUGAGAAGGAAAGUACACAACUGCUGUGCCUGGGACAUUGUCAUACUGGAAGUUAAGACAUGAAAAUUAGUAAAUGCUUUCUUUGUAUUAAUCAGCUCCUCAGAAAACUCAGGAAGUCAAAAAGGAGAAUUAAGCUCCCACAGUAUGUCUCAUCUACAGUCCUCCCUCAGUACCCGAGGGGGAGAGGUUCCAGGACCUCCACGGAUACCGUGUGGAUCUUCAAGUUCCUUAUAUAAGAUGUAAGAACUGAAAGGAAAUGCCAUUUUUUGAUGCCAUUUCUUUCCUGGAAACUUGAACUUGCCACCAUGGGAAACCACUACUUCAGCCAGCAAACAUGGAAUCGCCACACAGAGCCUAUAUCUUCUCAUUUUUCACUCCGGACCAAAAUGUCACACAGGUGCUUCAGAUUGGCAAAGUCUUAUUCAAGUGCCUGCAUUCUAUCUGCAAAGGAGGCUAGAAAUUUGCAUUGGGUCUCCUACAUUGGUAAAUUAGUGUUCUAUUGAUGCAUAAUUAAUAACCUAAAACUUCAGUGGCGUUAACCACUAGUCUAUUACCUAACAGUUUUUAUGAAUCAAGAAUUUGAGAGCGCUUUCAGUGGGCUCAGGAUCUCUCAUGAGGUGGCGGUCAAGAUGUCAGCUGGCCUGCAGUCACCUGAAGGCUUGACUUGGGUUGGAGGAUCUGCUUCUAACGUGGGUCAUUCACAUGACCACUGGCAGGAAGCCUCAGUUCCUCAUCACAGUCACCUGAGCCCCUCCACUAAGCCCUGUGAUGUGUCCUCACAACAGCUGGCUUCUACCAAAGUGAGUGAUGAAAACCAGAAGUGGAGAAGGCAGUAAAUUGUUUUAUGACAGAGUCUUAUAAGUUACACACCAUCACUUCAACCUGUGUUGUGUAUUGAUUAGAGGGAAGUUGCUACAUCAAGCACAUAGUCAAGGGAAGGGACAGGAAAGAGUAUGAGACAGUCUGUGAAUAUAUUUUAAAACAACUGCAAUGAAAGAAGUAGGAGUCAUAAGGUAGGCGUAUCCCUUCAUGUAGAAAGGCUGUUGUACAGAUGAUGGGUGGCCAUGAGUAUGAUGUCAGAAGAACAAUCUGUGAUGAUUUAUUGGCUAUGGGCUUUGAGGAAGUUGAGAACUCAAUGAUAAUGUCCAUGUCUCUCUCUUGGGCUGCAGAAUGAUUGGGACCCAUUCACACAAGGAACAUAGAAGGGCGAGAAAGUUUGGAAAAUAUGGAUUCAACUUUGAACACGUGAAGUGGAGAUAUUCUAGAUAUUCUAGCAUGUAGAAAUAUGGAUCUAAUGUUUGGAGAUAAGAUUCUGGGGAAAGACAUGCAUAUGGAGGUCACAAUCAUAGAGAGGACAUUUGGAAGUAUUUGGGAGGUUGAGAGUGUAUGUGCAGAGAGGAUGAAGUGUGGGACUAGCAUGGAAUUUGUGGAACACCAAUUCCCUAAGAUGAGAGGGAGCAGUCAACAAAGGAAGGAGAGGAGGUGGGGCAGAAAAGCAGAGGAUGGUGGUGACACGGAGACCAGAUGAGCGUCAGACCUUAAGAUGGAGGGCGUGGUAACAAGUGUCCGAUGCUUCUGAGAUGUCAGCUGAGGCUGCCUGACAGUGAUCUCUGAUCUCAGUAACAUGUAUUGAUAGUUCAGUAUAAACUUUGGCUGAGCAGUUUUAAGAGAACAGGGAGGUUGAAGGCAAAUUAUGGCAAUUGGAGGAAUGAUGUGCGUGUGAAGAAAUAGGGACAGAUAAUCCAGAGAACGUUGAAGAAGUUUGGGUGUGAACAGAAUGACAGAAGCAAAAUAAUACUAACAAGUGGUCAUAGCGCUGAGGAGUAGUCAUGUUUAGGAUAAAAUGAAAAUUAAGCACAUUUAACGUUGAUCAAAACUAGCCAAUAAAAAGAAAGAUGUUGAUACAGGAGAGAGGAUGUAACUGAUAAAGCAUAAACAUCUUAUUAAAGUCCCCUCUGCUUUUCUAUCAAAGGAAUCAUUCUGAAGAACUAAGCCUUCUGGAAUUGUCCCUCUGGUGUCACAGAGGUUUUGCACCCUGAGGCAGUGCGCCAGGCUGAGGCUUGGAAUG